GCAAAGACUUGAAAAGAUGGUUUAAAGCAGGGGUUCUCAAACUUUUUGGAGCCAGGGACCCCUUACAGCCUAAACUAACUGCCUGCAGCUCAGCUGCAGCAACCUCAGGUUCAGCUGAAUGACAGUGAUAGAGAAACUCUCUGCUCCACCAUCAACGAGGUCAAGUCUCUGAAGGAGCAAAACAAAGCUCUGAAGGACUCCAUCAGUCUGCUGGAAGAAACCAAACAGACAGAGGUGAACAAACUCCAAGAGGAGCUGAAGCUCAAAGAUGAACUCGUGGAUAGAGCCUCUGAAAAAGAGCAGGAAGCAACCGGAGCCUAUGCAGAAACCAUGGACAUACUGGCUGAAAAAGAGACUGAGCUCUUCUUUUUUGAGCUCAAGUUUAAAGAUGAACUCUUAGAAAAAGCUGCCACAAAUCAGCAGGAAUGAACCAGAGCCCAAGUGGACAGCCCUCUUGUUAAGAUUUUAAACAUUUCUGCAAAUUCUGCAAUACAGUUGUGAUGAACU
Long non-coding RNA from Notolabrus celidotus (New Zealand spotty), 507 nucleotides. RefSeq lists it as uncharacterized. The record is from RefSeq and is a predicted model, not a curated record. NCBI's taxonomy places the organism in Eukaryota, Metazoa, Chordata, Actinopteri, Labriformes, Labridae. The transcript is spliced from 2 exons.